This 276-nucleotide unclassified non-coding RNA is filed under the name Vibrio vulnificus. Its description in RNAcentral is "partial 16S-23S ribosomal RNA intergenic spacer". Lineage: Bacteria; Pseudomonadati; Pseudomonadota; Gammaproteobacteria; Vibrionales; Vibrionaceae. The record is from RNAcentral.
CCACCAUCUUUAAGCAUUCUUGCGAGUGUGUUUAAAAAUGGUUUCGAAAGAAAUCUGCUCUUUAACAAUUUGGAAAGCUGACAAAACAACAAUUUAUUGUUGUUUGUAAAGUUCUCAAUGUUUGUCUUUAGGACAAACACCAACAAACACAUUCAAGUGUUCUUGGGAAGGUCACUUUUUAGUGACUAUUCGAAAUUGAGUCCGGCAAAAUCAACGCUAUCUCGCUCAUUCAAAUAAUGAGAUAGCAACUUUGGUUGUUUAACAAAGACCCUUUGG